UUGGGAAUCUUGGACAAUGGGGGAAACCCUGAUCCAGCCAUGCCGCGUGAGUGAUGAAGGCCUUCGGGUUGUAAAACUCUUUCGCGCACGACGAUAAUGACGGUAGUGCGAGAAGAAGCUCCGGCUAACUUCGUGCCAGCAGCCGCGGUAAUACGAAGGGGGCUAGCGUUGUUCGGAAUUACUGGGCGUAAAGCGCGCGCAGGCGGUCUUCCAAGUCAGUGGUGAAAGCCCGGAGCUCAACUCCGGAACUGCCAUUGAAACUGUGAGACUUGAGUAUGAGAGAGGUGAGUGGAAUUCCCAGUGUAGAGGUGAAAUUCGUAGAUAUUGGGAAGAACACCGGUGGCGAAGGCGGCUCACUGGCUCAUUACUGACGCUCAGGCGCGACAGCGUGGGGAUCAAACAG
Molecule: ribosomal RNA, 403 nt
Filed under: uncultured bacterium
Lineage: Bacteria
Description: bacterial SSU rRNA
Rfam family: Bacterial small subunit ribosomal RNA
Source: RNAcentral